This 253-nucleotide ribosomal RNA is filed under the name uncultured bacterium. RNAcentral's name for it is "partial 16S ribosomal RNA". It matches the Rfam family "Bacterial small subunit ribosomal RNA", at positions 524 to 776 of the family's 1533-position model. The record is from RNAcentral.
UACGGAGGGUGCAAGCGUUAUCCGGAUUUACUGGGCUUAAAGGGUGCGUAGGCGGGCUUUUAAGUCAGCGGUGAAAUCUCCAGGCUCAACCUGGAAAUUGCCGUUGAUACUAUUAGUCUUGAAUUAAGUUGAGGUGGGCGGAAUAUGUCAUGUAGCGGUGAAAUGCUUAGAUAUGACAUAGAACACCGAUUGCGAAGGCAGCUCGCUAAACUUAUAUUGACGCUGAGGCACGAAAGCGUGGGGAUCAAACAGG